RNAcentral lists this ribosomal RNA (1262 nucleotides) under Escherichia coli. RNAcentral describes it as "partial 23S ribosomal RNA". It matches the Rfam family "Bacterial large subunit ribosomal RNA", at positions 1 to 1303 of the family's 2925-position model. The record is from RNAcentral. Lineage: Bacteria; Pseudomonadati; Pseudomonadota; Gammaproteobacteria; Enterobacterales; Enterobacteriaceae.
GGUUAAGCGACUAAGCGUACACGGUGGAUGCCCUGGCAGUCAGAGGCGAUGAAGGACGUGCUAAUCUGCGAUAAGCGUCGGUGAGGUGAUAUGAACCGUUAUAACCGGCGAUUUCCGAAUGGGGAAACCCAGUGUGUUUCGACACACUAUCAUUAACUGAAUCCAUAGGUUAAUGAGGCGAACCGGGGGAACUGAAACAUCUAAGUACCCCGAGGAAAAGAAAUCAACCGAGAUUCCCCCAGUAGCGGCGAGCGAACGGGGAGGAGCCCAGAGCCUGAAUCAGUGUGUGUGUUAGUGGAAGCGUCUGGAAAGGCGCGCGAUACAGGGUGACAGCCCCGUACACAAAAAUGCACAUAUUGUGAGCUCGAUGAGUAGGGCGGGACACGUGGUAUCCUGUCUGAAUAUGGGGGGACCAUCCUCCAAGGCUAAAUACUCCUGACUGACCGAUAGUGAACCAGUACCGUGAGGGAAAGGCGAAAAGAACCCCGGCGAGGGGAGUGAAAAAGAACCUGAAACCGUGUACGUACAAGCAGUGGGAGCCUCUUAAUGGGGUGACUGCGUACCUUUUGUAUAAUGGGUCAGCGACUUAUAUUCUGUAGCAAGGUUAACCGAAUAGGGGAGCCGAAGGGAAACCGAGUCUUAACUGGGCGUUAAGUUGCAGGGUAUAGACCCGAAACCCGGUGAUCUAGCCAUGGGCAGGUUGAAGGUUGGGUAACACUAACUGGAGGACCGAACCGACUAAUGUUGAAAAAUUAGCGGAUGACUUGUGGCUGGGGGUGAAAGGCCAAUCAAACCGGGAGAUAGCUGGUUCUCCCCGAAAGCUAUUUAGGUAGCGCCUCGUGAAUUCAUCUCCGGGGGUAGAGCACUGUUUCGGCAAGGGGGUCAUCCCGACUUACCAACCCGAUGCAAACUGCGAAUACCGGAGAAUGUUAUCACGGGAGACACACGGCGGGUGCUAACGUCCGUCGUGAAGAGGGAAACAACCCAGACCGCCAGCUAAGGUCCCAAAGUCAUGGUUAAGUGGGAAACGAUGUGGGAAGGCCCAGACAGCCAGGAUGUUGGCUUAGAAGCAGCCAUCAUUUAAAGAAAGCGUAAUAGCUCACUGGUCGAGUCGGCCUGCGCGGAAGAUGUAACGGGGCUAAACCAUGCACCGAAGCUGCGGCAGCGACGCUUAUGCGUUGUUGGGUAGGGGAGCGUUCUGUAAGCCUGCGAAGGUGUGCUGUGAGGCAUGCUGGAGGUAUCAGAAGUGCGAAUGCUGACAU